This 495-nucleotide ribosomal RNA is filed under the name uncultured bacterium. Its description in RNAcentral is "partial 16S ribosomal RNA". It matches the Rfam family "Bacterial small subunit ribosomal RNA", at positions 28 to 505 of the family's 1533-position model. The record is from RNAcentral.
GAUGAACGCUGGCGGCGUGCCUAAUACAUGCAAGUCGAGCGAACGGACGAGAAGCUUGCUUCUCUGAUGUUAGCGGCGGACGGGUGAGUAACACGUGGAUAACCUACCUAUAAGACUGGGAUAACUUCGGGAAACCGGAGCUAAUACCGGAUAAUAUUUUGAACCGCAUGGUUCAAAAGUAAAAGACGGUCUUGCUGUCACUUAUAGAUGGAUCCGCGCUGCAUUAGCUAGUUGGUAAGGUAACGGCUUACCAAGGCAACGAUGCAUAGCCGACCUGAGAGGGUGAUCGGCCACACUGGAACUGAGACACGGUCCAGACUCCUACGGGAGGCAGCAGUAGGGAAUCUUCCGCAAUGGGCGAAAGCCUGACGGAGCAACGCCGCGUGAGUGAUGAAGGCCUUCGGAUCGUAAAACUCUGUUAUUAGGGAAGAACAUAUGUGUAAGUAACUGUGCACAUCGUGACGGUACCUAAUCAGAAAGCCACGGCUAACUACG